GGAGCCCUUUCGCCAGCUUUUCAUUUUAUUUCUAAAACAAUGGCGGACAGCACAAGCGGUAGACCACGAAGCUACAGACCGUAAAUAGACGUUUCCUGGAGGUGCUGGUGCUGGUCCUCUGCUGCCCUCCCGACAUCUGGCUCCAAUGACCUCUGGCACCUCACAUCCACCUCCAGGGCCUUGAAGAAGAUGGACCGCCAUCGCGUCUUCAGUAUCCAGAAGGACCUCUCCACAACACACCUCGCCUUUGACAGGCAGCGGUUGUAGCUUGGAGGUGGACAGGCUGCCUGAAGGGGGUCAUGAGGCAGAUGGUUGGGACAGGCAGGGGGAGCCACCAUCCCCAAGGAUACAGUAUCCUGGUGGAGGGGAUGACUGCUCAUAGAAGAUGGGGCUGUUAUUCAGGACCCUGGCAUCAUGCACUGAGCCCGGGGCCUGUCGAAGGCCCUGGCCACCACCCGAUAGGAGGUGGCGCUGGCAAGCCAAAAAAUAAAAACUAGACAGGAGAUCUCGGGGCCCCAACCGUGGUCAGUCAGUGCCCAGCACAGCCA
Long non-coding RNA from Pseudoliparis swirei, 548 nucleotides. RefSeq lists it as uncharacterized. The transcript is spliced from 2 exons. The record is from RefSeq and is a predicted model, not a curated record. Lineage: Eukaryota; Metazoa; Chordata; Actinopteri; Perciformes; Liparidae.